CGUCACACUACCCUGUGUGGGAUUCACUUUCGUCAUCGUGGAACACGUCGCGGAUCGGUACACGCACACGGCGUGGUUACCGCACAACACACCGCGGCUGCGACGGUUAACGGACUAAAGAGGUGGACGCGCAACGACGCGAAAACUGAUACGCUAUCGCGACACGAUCUCGGUUCUCGCAACACCACGCGACGCGACCGGAGUAUUCAGGGAGAACACAGAAAUCGGAAGAGAACGCGAUCGAACGCGAGAGAAAGAUGUAGAAUAAUUAGGUACAGACGGAGUGAAACCGAGAGAGAGCGCGAACAAGGAAGUAGAAUGGCAGGAGAGGUAAAACGUAAACACGACACAGAAAAGGAUCCAUAGCGGGGUUCUAUCCUCUAUGUAAACGCUCCUUCAAGUAUUUCGCGACGGUGGAGUCCUCGUUGUCUCGUAAAACAACACAACGUAUCCGCGCGAGGAAAGUGCACCUGCGCGGUCCUGCGUCGUUUUCUCGGUCGCGGCCCGUUUGUCCCUGUGGUGCCACCUCUCUACCCCUCCCAGCCUACUAACCCUCUCCCCCCCAUGGUUCCUCCUCGAGUGCGCCUAACCCUCUCCUCCUCUUUUUACGUUCCAACUUGCCGCUCAUCGACUGGAGGGGACUAAGAGGCACCUUCUGCCUCCUCUUUCUCGCACCGUUCCCCUCCCUCGUUCUGCGGCAACAUCCACGUCCCUGUAACACCACCCACUCAUCCAACACCCGACGUGUACCGUCGAGAGUCGAUUACCGUCGACAGAGAACCGGGGACGGACCCUUCCACUCGAUACAAGUGGCCGAGAGACAGACACACCAAUAUGGCCGACUAAAUUCAACCGGUCGUGGCACACAGCCGGGAGAUUAUGAUGAUACUCGGAGAUGUCUCGCAUUGUCAAAUUACAUAAGCCACAGUGGUAGCAAAGAAAACCAGCGAUUUUUCACUCGUCACAAUUCCGGUAACUUUGGAUCUAUCAUAAAGCCAGGUAUUGUUUGCGCGAGAGUGAAGCAAACUCUGCUUUUGGCUCGGCGACAAGCUCGUCGUGCGCAGUUGGCUUGGUUCAAUAUAAAAAGAAUUCACGGGGACGAGUGGAUUUGGUUGGGAUCAUUAAUAGGAAUCGUUCGAGUUCAAAAUUAACAACGAUAACUUGUUGGAAAUAAGCUAACGAUAAAACAGAAGGAUUAAGUUAAAACCGCGUGACUGCGCAGUUCGUUUCGUCCGAACGAGCAAGCGUUUUAAUUAAAUUGUAAUGGAAGAGCCGAUUGCUAUAGACCGUAACCUCAAAGGACUGUUUGAUUGUCAAUUAAUCGCAGAAGACAUCCCGGGCAGAACUUCGCAAACAACAACGGAAUUAUUCCCAGGGGUUGGAGAGAAAAGAAUCUAAAAAAAAAAAAAAAAGAAAAAUAAUACCGUGAAACAUCGAAACCGCAUUCUACGAAAGCCGCGUCGCCCUGUCUGACCACGAAUCGAACUUUUCUACUUUGAAACCGAGCGAGGCGGCGGAGAUGCACGAAUGAGCACGAGGGAAGCCGAAGCAACACGUGGCCCCGGGAACACACGAGCGACUACUGUUCGUACUAUACAUACAGCCGAUUAUUCUAGCUAUGAAAGUCCGGAACUGUUACGAGCUCUUCACGACUCAAUGUCACGGUUUCAGCACGCGCGAUAAACGCGUCCAAGUGUGACAGAAUCGACGAGAAAACAGAGAGAAAAAGGGAGUGGGGAAAACGGAAUAAAGAAAGGAAUGCGAAUGAAUAACGAUUACAACGCAGUUGGUUCAUUUGGAGAAGCAAGCACAGCUGGUGGUGGAGGUAAAGUUGGAACCAAUCGGAUUACGCCGUCGAUGAUGUCCAAUCAGAAGCGGCAAUUUUAAAGGACUUGAAAUUUCCCGAACAAUUUAAACGACCCAUAUGUGUAUUCUGAACAUUGAUGUGGGCGAUGUUUAAAACAAUUGUAAUAAUUUAACACGUUUGUCCGAAAAUAUAUUAACAUUGUCAGAAAUGCAA
Osmia bicornis bicornis is the source of this 2020-nucleotide long non-coding RNA. RefSeq lists it as uncharacterized. Lineage: Eukaryota; Metazoa; Arthropoda; Insecta; Hymenoptera; Megachilidae. The record is from RefSeq and is a predicted model, not a curated record. The transcript is spliced from 2 exons.